This 468-nucleotide ribosomal RNA is filed under the name uncultured bacterium. Its description in RNAcentral is "partial 16S ribosomal RNA". It matches the Rfam family "Bacterial small subunit ribosomal RNA", at positions 28 to 507 of the family's 1533-position model. The record is from RNAcentral.
AACGAACGCUGGCGGCAUGCUUAACACAUGCAAGUCGAACGGAAACGCCCUGCUUUCGUGGGGUGACCGAUUGGCAACCGGGUGAGUAACACGUGAGUAUCCUGCCCUACACUUUGGGAUAUCUUCUAGUAACUGAUGCUACUACCGGAUAGGAGCCCCUGUUCCAUGGUAUGGGUUGGAAAGUUUCGGCGUAUGGGGUUGGACUCGGGGCUUCUCAGUUUGCUAGGGGGGUCGGGGCUUACCAAGGCAUUGACAGGUCUCCGGCCUGAGAGGGUGACCGGCCACGUUAGGACGGGGAUACGACCCAGACUCGUACCGGAGGCGGCGGUGGGGAGUAUUGCACAAUGGGCGGAGGCCUGAUGCAGCAACGCCGCGUGCGGGAUGACGGCCUGCGGGUAGUGAACCGCUGUCGCCUGUUACGAAGCGUUAGUGACGGUAAUGGGGAAAGAAGCACCGGCUAACUACGUG